GAUGAUUGGCUCUACCUAUCACGCAGCUUGUAUUUUGAUAAGGACACCAUAGUCCCUGAGACUUUCUUCAUCAGUCUUGUUGAAGAAGAGGAAUGGAUCACAAGAGGCUAUGAUGUAACACUUGUCCCCAGCAUCCCUGUAGAGAUAAAUAUGGGUAUUUGCUUGCAGACCAGUCACCCAUACCUAUGAACACUGCAGCUGGGAUACAUGAGACCCCAUUUGGAAGCCAUCAGUCAUCUUCUGUCUGCUGGCUCCAGCUACACCCACACACAUGAGAACGAAUCAGCACAACCAUCAGCAUUGUUUCUUGACUGGAAAUUAUUUAACUGUUUGAAAGAGCACCUUCAUUUUAAUUCCAAGAUUAUUCAAGUAUUUUGAUCUUUGAACAAAAAUUAGCCUACACUUGUGCUACCUCACAUUUGUGUCAGACCAUGGGUUAUGAUGUGUUACAGAAAAAUGUUAUAUUUUUUUUGCAAUUUUGUUAUCUGAUGAAAUCAUUGUAGUGCUUUUCAUCUUUGGGACAGUGAACAGGCACCACAGCCAGCCUGGGGAGAACAUCAAAGCUGACCAAACUGAAGCACAGGCAGCUUCAGCCUCCUUUGCUGAAACUUUUGACUUUCAGUAAGACCAACGCACUGUCUUUGUGACCAUAUGUUCUAUUAAAAAAGUAGCUUUAACACUAAAACCUUAGGAUAUUUGCAAACUCUUCCUUUCAAGCUAACUUCUCCUGCAUAAUAGACAUCACAUAUCUCGGUCCAUCUUUAUUCUCCACCCAACCUCUGCACGCCAGCAGACUCUACGUGCUCGCUGAGUUCAGAGCAGCAGCUAUAGGGAAAAAGGCGUGUUCACACAGGUGCCUUAAAUGAUGAAAGAUGAUACCAAACACAGUAGCUGGAUAUAGACAAGGAUUUUUAACAGACUCUUCUUCCCUUUCUCUCUCCUAUUUCUAGUUCCCCUGUAGCCUUUCCAAGGUUAGAAGGGGUAAGAAGAGCCAGAAUUGCCUGCAGUAUGCAAAAUGAGCUUGCACAGGGAAUUCACAGUAUUACAUUGCAAUGCUUUCUGUUUGGUCGUCUGGUACUUUCCUAGUACCUCCCAUUAUUCUCUUUGUUUUCUGACUACUGCUGAGUUUGGACGCUGAUGUUUUCAUAGAACCAUCUUUUACGAGCUUGGGAUCACUUCCUAAAUGGCAAUAUAUAUAUAUAUCAAUGUUAUCACACUAUAUAUAAAAUUGUACCUGCUUUUAUAUUCAUCAAAGUUAUAUUUCAUUUGCCAUUUUAUUGCCUGUCACUCAAUCUUAUGAUAUCCUUCUGCAACUCUUUGCAGCUUUCGUCUCUUCUCUGGUACUAAGACAGUUCUAAGCAAAAGUUACUAUUUCAGAAGUCUUCUCAAAAUACAGAAUGACCUUAAUGAGAUGAACACCUGCUACCAAUUUAUCAGUUUGUUUUAAUAAGCCAUUUACUGACACUUCAAUUUCAGCCAGAUCUUCCAAUUAAGACCCUGUCAAAAAAUGUUAACAGCAUAGAGAGUUUGCUGAGGAGCUCAACAGCAACCACAGAUAAAAACUUGAUGUCUAUUCUGGUCUAUUCUUCCAGAAGGGUUCCUUUAUACCUUGACCACUUAAGUCACCCAAAUCCUGUGACAACUGUCAGAGACCGUACUGUACUGAGAGCAAGGAGCAGAAGCAAAUUCAGCCACGUUAAAUCACAGGGAGACAGUUUUACCCCUGUACAGCGCACAGGCAGGUUUAGUGCUGGCAGUUCUAAUAUCCAGACUUCCUGUCAUGCGAUGAACAUUCUUUGAGAUUUCUCUGUUUUUAAUAAAAAAUGCUAUGAAAAUGUUUUGAAAUUAAAGCUUUGCCAGUUUGCCACCACAAGGCAAGUUUUCUGAUCUAUACAGUUCAGACAAGGGGCAGAGCAAGAGAUGACUCAGUUAUCAUCUGUAAAUGACUCCAUGGGGAAUAAGGAAAAAAAAAUUCCAUAUUAGGUCUCUAAGCUAGCUGAAAACUGAAAACAUGAAGUUGAAUACCAACAAAUCCAGACUAAACCUAAAGCCUUUCCUUUAUAAUAAUGUUUAUUGACUACUAGGAAGGAUUAAAAUAUAUAGACCUUAGUUAUUCAAGAGAUUUCUCAAGUCUUAAUUUGUUUGUAAGAGAUCCCAUCAUAGCUUACACAGAAUUAAUAAGCUUAUUCCUGAUGGAACUGGGCAAAGAUUUUUACCUUUGUUGUGCAGGUCCAGUUAUAUAAUCAUAUUUGGUUUCCUCAGCCUCAAAACAUGUGAUCUUAUAAUAAAGUAUGUCUAUUCAA
This is a long non-coding RNA of Columba livia (rock pigeon), 2303 nucleotides long. RefSeq lists it as uncharacterized. The transcript has 2 exons. The record is from RefSeq and is a predicted model, not a curated record. NCBI's taxonomy places the organism in Eukaryota, Metazoa, Chordata, Aves, Columbiformes, Columbidae.